UCAUCUGAUAUUUAAAAUUCACUGGUCCAACUAAUCGAGACGAUUCUUAUCUUCGUAAUUCUUCCUUCUCAUCUCCUAUUCAAGGGCAAAUCUCCCAAAAUAACUGCUAUCAUUUCCUUCCAAAUGAAGAAGUGACCUUGUAAGAAAUAAAUACCUAUGUGUCUGCAAAAAUUUAGUUAGUUGUCUUGAGAGAAAAUUGAUUGAAUUUCUAAUCAUAGUGAAAGACCAUGUUAGAAUCGACCAUGCAGUAGGAGAAAUCAGAGCCAUCAAUUUCAUUCAUAUUCUCAACACUCAAAUUGAUGAGUUGUGUUCUUUACUCCUAAUGCCUGCCAUUACAGGCUCUGCCAAAGCUGCUUACAAAUGUAGAUGCGGCUGCUUACAACCGUAGUGAUGCUCAUUUAUAGAAUGAAUGAAUCCCCACCUUACCGAGCUAUAAUGAAGUGGUUCAAAUAUGCUAUGAACUUUGAGAAAUUGUCUAUAUUUCCCCACCAUUCGUAGUUGAGGUCAGAUAUACCCGUAUUGUAAUAAGAUUGGUCCAACUAUGAUUGUAUUUGCUAACAUUGAAAGUUUUUCAAUACAUAGGUCAUUUAAUAAUAAUAAAAAAAGACAUUCAAUUUGUCCUUGAAUUAUGCUUAAUGGUCCAUAUUUGCCCUUAAACUUUGAAAAAGUGGUUUCACAGUCUAAUGCUUCUCAAAUCUUUGCAUGAGAUGACAAGGUUUUGAUGUCCCUGGAGUUCUUGGAGUGUCUCCCGUGUUAAAUGUACAGGUCUUGAUGAUCAAGAAUGAGGGGAGGCAUAGGUUAUAUAGGUGUAGCUUAAUGGAAGUUUUUAUGAGACUUUGAGGCAUGUGAAGAAAAAUUGCAGAAUGAACCACCAAUAGUUUUGAAUGGUCUUGAAGGCCUGUAAUUAUGCAGUUUAGUUAACAGUAGCUAAUUCAGCCUGUGAGGUUUCUCCACCAUACUCCUCUGGAUGACAUGUUUACUAAUCCUGUAUAUUAGUGUCUGUUUACCACCUCUUCUUUGUGAUAUACCAAAGAAUGAGGUUAAAUCUUUGUUUUCCCCUUUUAUCAUAGUUGAAACACUGUAUCAAACAGGUUUUAUGCUGUUAUAGUCACAUACAUUUGUUUUCUUC
This is a long non-coding RNA of Lycium ferocissimum, 1129 nucleotides long. RefSeq lists it as uncharacterized. Lineage: Eukaryota; Viridiplantae; Streptophyta; Magnoliopsida; Solanales; Solanaceae. The record is from RefSeq and is a predicted model, not a curated record. The transcript has 2 exons.